RNAcentral lists this long non-coding RNA (2348 nucleotides) under Helianthus annuus (common sunflower). Lineage: Eukaryota; Viridiplantae; Streptophyta; Magnoliopsida; Asterales; Asteraceae. The record is from RNAcentral.
AUAGGUACAACCACUCUAGACAACGCAUCUAACAAUGACAGGGCAGCCAACAUUCUAAUGGAUAACUUUAAAGGGAAAGGAAAAUUGCAUUUUGAGAGAUUGUUUUUUGUUGUGCUCACAUCCUAAAUUUGAUAGUGCAAGAUGGUUUAGGCUCUGCCUACCAUCUGUAUGUUAAUCCUCUGGUAUUCCCGUAACCCCUCAUCAAUAUAAGCUUCUUUCCUUUCUCUCUCUCACGAAAACUCUUUGAACUCCGGCGAUUCGUGACCAGGAAAAGUGAAGAGACAUAAGGAGAGAAUCGAAGAGAUAACCACGAGCAAGAGUGUCGGCAGUGACCAAACAAGGUUUCGAUUAGGGUUUCCCAAGGAGGAAGAAGGUGACAUGUUCUUGUUCGAUUGGCGUUCUGACGAGAACUGAAUCUGGGACUUUUAUGGAUGGUGAUUUGUUAGUGAACAGAGAUGGUGUUAGAAUUGUUUCUCAAAGCCAAUCUGAUACUAUACAUGGAAUCUUGCUUUGCAAGAAGAUUCCGGUGACUUACAAACCGCCAUUGUUAGUUACCGGAAUAAGUUCCCCUGGUCUCUUUUGCAACCCUUUCUCAUUUUAAUGGAAAGAUAUCAUCUUUUUGCUUCAAGUUGUAAACAGUUCCGAUACAAGCGUAAAUCACAUGUUUGCGGUGGUUCUUCUAAUAUGAUCGAAUGAAAGCCCCUGCCGAUAUUCAAGCUACAGUAGCCCAUAAUGACGAUGACAGGGAUGCAUUGAUUGGCAAUAUGGAAGGGGAGAGGAUGAGGAACCAUCGAAAGUUUCUUCCAAACCUCUGCCUCCCAGACCCAUGGCAGUGUGUUCAACAUUUUAUCUAUAGAACAAACCCUAUGCGUCAUCAUGCAGCAAAUUUCAGGCAUGAUUUGGUUUUACUGAUUGCCAAAUCCACCGUGACCGUUUACAUCAUCAGUGGCAACAGUUACAAUCACCAAAUCCACCAAGCCUUUCUCAGUUGUUCCCGAAAUUCCCAAUUUUCAAACCCGGAGACAAAAUAUGGCCUGAAUUUGAGAUCAAUCGAAGACUUCUAUUAUUGGUAAGAUUGGGAAACCUGAAACGGUGAUAACUGAAUCGGUUUAAGGCGCAUAGGGAAGUGUCAUUUGAUGAGGUUAAGGGGGGAAGGGAAGGUUGAAAUGAAGAAGGUUAAGUAUUUUGCGGGGAGUACAUUGUAUCAUAUUGAUGAUUUGUUGUUUAAGUUGGAAGAUAUGCCAACGAAUUAUGGUGGGUUUAGGAAGAAAGUUAAAGGGUUGAAGAUUAGGAAGACGAUUGAGGCGUUGGAUCAGUUGAGAGGGUUGCCCGUGGGUGGGGAUGUGGAGCCUGGUGAGAUCCGACUUUGGAUCAUUUGGGUUUGAAUCCUACUGCUACAAUGAACCAGGUAGGGUUUGAAGUUUUUGACAGUUUAUUGCUGGGGGUGUGCAAAUAUGAGACGACACUAACUUAACAUGAAAUUUUCAAGGUCGGUUUGAGUAUAAACGGGUUUGAGUAUUUUCGGGUUGAACCUGUUGACACAUUCAGCUAAUGAGGUCGUGUUUGUGCAACCCAAUGGGUUUGCGGGUUGCCACGUAACCCAUUUAGUUUUUUUUAGUGUCUCAGUUUUUUUUAAUUAUAUUGAUCGAGUGUUUUAUGCCAUAAUUUAAAACUUAAAUGAGAAACAGGUAUAAGCUAUUAUGGUUAAAAUGUAAAUGGACAAAAAUGUGAUUUAACAAAACACAGACACAUUUAAAAAAAAAAAAAACUAAACGGGUUAACGAGGCAACCUGCAAACCCAUUGGCUGAAUGUGUCAACAGCCAGCAUAUAUGGUGCUAAAUUUUCGUGCAAGAUCUCGCCAUGGCUUGCAAUGGGAUGCAUUUCUCCUCGCUCCAUGUUCGAUGAGUUGAAGAAGUCUGCAUUUAAGUAUGAUUGCUCAAAUCUGUCAUUGAAGGGGUGUUUGGUAGUGCAUGUUGGAAGUGAUAACAUGAAAUGAUUAUGAUCUCAAGCUAAUCACAAAUAUAAAAAUAGAUAAUUGAAGGCUUUAAACGGGAUACUGGUGGUAUGAGUUUGAGAUAAAUUGCAUGGGUGAUGAUGCCACAACUGAGAAGUGGAGCCAGGAGAUCAAAACGACUAGGUGAUCUUCAGCCCGCCACUCAACCGAUUGGGCAAACUGAAAACAAGGAAGACAGGUGGUUGAAGGGGAAGAGGUGAUGCUGUAGGUAUAGGAAAAGGGUUUGUGGGGCAACAAAAGGUAGGUCGGCGGCUGGCAAUAAAGGUAGUGGCGUUAGAUUGAUUGAUUUGGACCAAAGGCGAAGAGUUUAAGAGGGGUCAUACUGUUUGUGAG